CCCAUGGUGAAAUAAUAAUAAGGUGUUGUCACUUAGGGGGUGGUUGUUGUAGUUUUGGCAAUUUCGGCAUACCAGCGUUACAGUAAUGCCUACUCUAUUUAUUCCAAUUUCCUUUCUGGGCAAAAUAGAACAAAAAAUGUAGCAGACAACAAUCUUGUGAAAAAAGUAAGCGUAGGUAUCACUAUUUCUUUGAGUCUCCUUUUCUCUGACUUUUCGUUUCAAAUUUAUUGGAAAAUCUGAGCGAUAGUUUGCAAUAAUUGUGAUUUUGUAAGUAAAUUUUUGCUAAAAUAUAUACAUAUAUAUGUGCAUAUUGAUGAAAUUUAAUUGUUUAUAUAUUUCUUCAAAUAGGUUGAGCUAUUAUCCCGCAAAAAGCAGCGAUUUAUUCAAGAUAAUUCCAGGUAAGUUUCGCAAACUAAAUGCAUUCACCAAACUAAUGUAUUUUUCUCACAAAAGGUUUUUAGAACAGCACCUUUUAAGUUUUAGAGCUGGCUACAGUUGUUUAUUGGGGCAGUGUCUCAUCAGCGGCGCUACCAACAGCGGUGUUAUAAGCAAGUUCCAGAUUUUUGGAGCAGUGUCUCGCCAAGCUGCGCUACCAGCAGCGUUUUAAUAAGCAAGUUCCAGAUUUUUGGAGUAGUGCACACCAGCAGCAUCAUCACCUUCUACAACUAGGGAUUUUUCAACUGCGUUUCAGGUAAGAAUUUAGCAAUUGCCAAUGAAUCAAAUUGGUAACUUAUUUUUUUAUUUGUUUUUGGCUUACACCCAUGCUUACACCAUCUUGUAAUGAUAUAAUUAUUAAUACACCAUGGCUCACACUAAUCACGGAUUCGGUACUUAUCUCCAAGCGUUUCCGCUCGGAUGACUAUGAUGAGGGACUUCGGUCUAGCCACUUAAACGUAUAAUUAUUUAAUAAUAUAACAGAUAGAAUUUAGAUGUGUAAGUUUUAAAUGGUAACGAAAAUAUAGUUUGUAAUAAAAUUCCCGUUAAAGUUAAGUUAUUUAAAAACUUAGUACGCAUAUAUACUUCAGAACUUAAGGAAAAAAAUACAAAUAAAAUUCCAUACUUGAUGAUAUGUUAUU
Long non-coding RNA from Rhagoletis zephyria (snowberry fruit fly), 1076 nucleotides. RefSeq lists it as uncharacterized. The record is from RefSeq and is a predicted model, not a curated record. NCBI's taxonomy places the organism in Eukaryota, Metazoa, Arthropoda, Insecta, Diptera, Tephritidae.